Molecule: ribosomal RNA, 501 nt
Filed under: uncultured bacterium
Lineage: Bacteria
Description: partial 16S ribosomal RNA
Rfam family: Bacterial small subunit ribosomal RNA
Source: RNAcentral
AUUGGACGCUGGCGGCAUGCCUUACACAUGUAAGUCGAACGGCAGCACGGGUGCUUGCACCUGGUGGCGAGUGGCGAACGGGUGAGUAAUACAUCGGAACGUACCUUAUCGUGGGGGAUAACGCAGCGAAAGCUAUGCUAAUACCGCAUACGCCCUGAGGGGGAAAGCGGGGGAUCGAAAGACCUCGCGCGAUUAGAGCGGCCGAUGCCUGACUAGCUUGUUGGGGGGGUAAAAGCCCACCAAGGCGACGAUCAGUAGCUGGUCUGAGAGGACGGUCAGCCAGACUGGGACUGAGACACGGCCCAGACUCCGACGGGAGGCAGCAGUGUGGAAUUUUGGACAAUGGGGGCAACCCUGAUCCAGCAAUGCCGCGUGAGUGAAGAAGGCCUUCGGGUUGUAAAGCUCUUUUGUCAGGGAAGAAACACCGGCUCUAACACAGUCCGGGAAUGACGGUACCUGAAGAAUAAGCACCGGCUAACUACGUGCCAGCCGCCGCCGUAA